This is a long non-coding RNA of Lotus japonicus, 2063 nucleotides long. RefSeq lists it as uncharacterized. The record is from RefSeq and is a predicted model, not a curated record. NCBI's taxonomy places the organism in Eukaryota, Viridiplantae, Streptophyta, Magnoliopsida, Fabales, Fabaceae. The transcript has 6 exons.
UAAAAUUGGAAUACACGUUCUCGCAAAUCCCGCACCUCCCCUCUCCCAGUCUCCCUCAUCUGCAGGUUGGUUCCUUAACGUGAGAAACCCCUAAAUCUCCAUUUCUUUUUCCAAACAAGUCUUGUAUCGAACAUGAAUCACAUCUAAAACCAGCAGCAAAACACAUAGAUUCAGAGGGGAAAGGGGAGGCGAACAGCAGCGAUGAACGUGGCGGCGCGUGAGAGGAGCAGCAGCGAUGAACGUGGCGGCGCGUGAGAGGAAAAGUAGUGGUGGAUCGGAACCUCGCGAGGGAGAACGGUGGGUCGUGGCGGCGCGAGAGGACGCGGCGCAACAGAUCCAACGACGUGCGUGGCGGUGGCUAGUAGAGGAGCGUGGUGGAGGCGAUUUAGAAGGAAGGAAGGAGGAAGGGAGGUGGUGGUGAUCACGAAGGAGAAGGAGGUGGUGAUGGUGGUGCAUCCAUGGGAGAGAAAGGGAGUGGCCACUGGUUCCUCCUCCUCCAACGACCCCAACCCUAACGCAGCAGCAGAGGAGUUAAGACCAGCUUGCUGGAAAAGGAACCGGAAGCUCCUCACCGAAGCCACAAUGUCUACUACCUCACGCAGGCUUCUCCCAAUCCAAUUCUACUACCUAUUUGCACUGCAAUAUAUCCCCCCCUGAGAAAGACACUUUCCAGUUCUGCAGCAAGCAGCUCCAACAGAUUUUUUGGAUCCAAGACAGCGCCCCAAUAAUAAAGGGUGUUUCUAUUUACCCAUCUUUCAUUGAGCUUUUUAUGUCUUACCUUAAUUGAGAUCCCAUGAUCAGCAAUCUAAUGUGGAUGCCCUUUCGAGUUAGCAACAAGCAACUUUCGGCGAAAUGUAGACAGAAUGGAGUAUAAUGAUAUAGAAGUUUCAUUUUCUUCCUCAGCACCUUAUGCUUCAGAGUAAAAAAUUCUGGAUUGAGAUUUUAGUUGCAUAAAGGUUCUGACUCUGACACCAGAAGAUAUAUUCAUUAGAAGUUCUGAAGAUCAGAAGUUCUGAAGAUCAGAAGUUCUGAAGAUCAGAAGAUCUGAAGACCAGAAGAUCUGAAGAUCAGAAGCUCUGAAGAUCAGAAGAUUUGAAGACCAGAAGAUCUGAAGACCAGAAGCUCUGAAGGUCCAGAAGCUCUGAAGGACCAGAAGCUCUGAAGGACCAGAAGCUCUGUUGGUCCAGAAGCAGAAGUUACGAAGGUCAGAGGAUCCAAGCUUCCCUCUGACUCUGAUCACCAAGCUUCACAAGUUCCAACAUGAAGCGUCGUCAGAUCAGAAGUAAAUGGUUACAGGCAAAUGUCACUAUCAAGAAGUACAAGAACAGUGUACUAUUAUGACAAGCCUAUCUACCAAGGUUCAGCCACAGCAGGUUUUGGAAGUUCCAGAAAUGCCCUCCAACGGUCAUAUUCUCUCAACGGAAAUAUCCUUUGCACCUUGGACUAUUUAAGGCUGAAGAAAAGAAGAAAGAUAAGAGAGAGAGAAAUCAAGAGCUGCAAUACAAGAAAAGAUUCAAGCCUAUACUUUCUUCAUCUAUUCUUAUUUAGUUUACACUCAGCUUAUUUAGAAGCAAACCUUUGUAAACACCAACCUCAAACAGUUGUUUGAUUUUCCUUAAGGGACCGGGUAGGUCAGUAUCCUUAAGAAGACUAAGAGAGUGAAUCUUAGUGGUGAUUCCGAGAUCAAGGUUGAUCGGAUCCUAGAGAAGACUAAGAGAGUGAAUCUUAGUGUGAGCUAAGUCAGUGUAUUGUUAGUCACUUGUAGGUUUCAAGUGCAGUUGUAACAAUUAUCUGAUUAGUGGAUUGCCUUCAUUCUAAGAAGGAAGAAAUCACCUUAAUGGGUGGACUGGAUUAGCUUGAGGGAUUUAUCAAGUGAACCAGGAUAAAAUACUUGUGUGCUUCUCUCUUCUCUCUAUCUCUUUAUCCGCUGCACCAUCUAUCUUAGAUAAACCGAAAAGAUUUACUUUAAAUCUUAAGGGGAAAGUUUUUAUAUUCAAAACUCUAUUCAACCCCCCCCUUCUAGUCGUUUUUCACACCUUCAAUUGGUAUCAGAGCGCAAGUUC